Molecule: ribosomal RNA, 466 nt
Filed under: uncultured bacterium
Lineage: Bacteria
Description: bacterial SSU rRNA
Rfam family: Bacterial small subunit ribosomal RNA
Source: RNAcentral
UCCAGACUCCUACGGGAGGCAGCAGUGAGGAAUAUUGGUCAAUGGGCUUACGCCUGAACCAGCCAAGUCGCGUGAGGGAAGACUGCCCUAUGGGUUGUAAACCUCUUUUGUCAGGGAGCAAUUGGCGCUACGUGUAGCGUUAUCGAGAGUACCUGAAGAAAAAGCAUCGGCUAACUCCGUGCCAGCAGCCGCGGUAAUACGGAGGAUGCGAGCGUUAUCCGGAUUUAUUGGGUUUAAAGGGUGCGUAGGCGGAAUGCCAAGUCAGCGGUAAAAUCGCGGGGCUCAACCUCGCUCCGCCGUUGAAACUGGCGUUCUUGAGUGGGCGAGAAGUAUGCGGAAUGCGUGGUGUAGCGGUGAAAUGCAUAGAUAUUACACAGAACACCGAUUGCGAAGGCAGCUUGCUAGGCCGGAUCUGACACUGAUGCACGAAAGCGUGGGGAUCGAACAGGAUUAGAUACCCCAGUAA